UAGGGAAUCUUCCGCAAUGGACGCAAGUCUGACGGAGCAACGCCGCGUGAGUGAUGAAUGUCUUCGGAUUGUAAAACUCUGUUGUUAGGGAAGAACAAGUACCGUUCGAAUAGGUCGGUACCUUGACGGUACCUAACCAGAAAGCCCCGGCUAACUACGUGCCAGCAGCCGCGGUAAUACGUAGGGGGCAAGCGUUGUCCGGAAUUAUUGGGCGUAAAGGGCGCGCAGGCGGUCUUCUAAGUCUGAUGUGAAAGCCCACGGCUUAACCGUGGAAGGUCAUUGGAAACUGGGGGACUUGAGUGCAGAAGAGGAGAGUGGAAUUCCAUGUGUAGCGGUGAAAUGCGUAGAGAUAUGGAGGAACACCAGUGGCGAAGGCGACUCUCUGGUCUGCAACUGACGCUGAGGCGCGAAAGCGUGGGUAGCGAACAGGAUUAGAUACCCUGGUAGUCCACGCCGUAAACGAUGAGUGCUAGGUGUCAGGGGGUUUCCGCCCCUUGGUGCUGGAGUUAACGCAUUAAGCACUCCGCCUGGGGAGUACGGCCGCAAGGCUGA
RNAcentral lists this ribosomal RNA (552 nucleotides) under uncultured compost bacterium. Its description in RNAcentral is "bacterial SSU rRNA". It matches the Rfam family "Bacterial small subunit ribosomal RNA", at positions 355 to 897 of the family's 1533-position model. The record is from RNAcentral.